UUUGUUUCAUACAGUUCAAAAUGUGUAACAGGUAGAAGUGUUUCAGUCAAAAGUACAUUAGUCCACUGUGUUUUACGUUCCGCCCCGGAACCAAUGUUCCCUGUGUAGUACCACUACGACGGAAUUCAUUGAGGGACUGAAACAAUCCAACGUAAGUGAAGGAGCAGAUGCCUUUCGCGGGCUCUGUAAAGUGUUUAAAGCUAUGAUUAUCGACGUCUGAAGCUAAAAGCAGACAGUCAAAGAGACUUUCAAAAGGACUUUCAUGGACUCAAGAACCUCUUUUCAUGACAAGCGGCCAACGAGUUUUCACGGCGUGUGCAUGACGUGACUGAGAAGUGAAGCAUCAGAGAAAGACGUGUCCAAGCAAUAAACGCCCGUAUCAAAGAA
This is a long non-coding RNA of Sebastes umbrosus (honeycomb rockfish), 387 nucleotides long. RefSeq lists it as uncharacterized. Lineage: Eukaryota; Metazoa; Chordata; Actinopteri; Perciformes; Sebastidae. The transcript is spliced from 2 exons. The record is from RefSeq and is a predicted model, not a curated record.